GGUCACGGGCCGGCCCGUUGUGUGAGGACGGGGCUCCGUGUUACCCGGCCUCCGUCAGCCUGGGGGUGUGCAGGAAGCCUGGCAGGGCUUUGCCACGGAGCUUGAGAGCUUGAUCGUGUAGCGUUUAGUAAUAAUAAUAAUAAUAAUAAAGUUGUUUGCUGUUGUUUCUGAAGGAAAUGACAGCGGGAAAGCGGACCGGGAGAAACCCUUCUGGAAGGAACUCGGUGUAGAGAGGGAUCUGAUGCACCUUGAAGUCACGCUGGAUCCAAACUCUGUAAGGUGCAGUGGAUGCAGGAAGGCGUGCUGCGAUGCCCGCAGUGCUGCUUGGUGCCGCCUGAGCAUCGCUCAGGUGCUGCAGCUCGCAGCCUUGUGCAGGUUUGCAGCAGCCUUGUAUGACCUUGGUAAGAGAGAAGCUGAGUGACUUGUCCUCUUUACAAAAGACCAGAUUCAAAGAGACUUUGUGUUACAUUUGUAUACUUCAAAAUAUUGAGCAGAAGUCUGCUGGCUUGUAGACCAUUGCAUCCUGCUUGCUUCUCAGAGACCUGGCUUGGACUUGUGCUGUUUUUCAUACGGCUUCCAUAAACAGGUUAUGUUCACUAAAGUGAGCUGGGAUAAAAGAUUUUGAAAUAGAUGAAGACAGAGAGCUGUUGGAGAGGGUCCAGAGGAGGGCCACAAAGAUAAUCAAGGGGCUGGAGUAUCUCUCUUGCGGAGACAGGCUGAGGGAGCUGGGCUUGUUCAGCCUGGAGAAAAGAAGGCUGCAGGGUGACCUCAAUGCAGCCUUUCA
This is a non-coding RNA of Meleagris gallopavo (turkey), 784 nucleotides long. NCBI's taxonomy places the organism in Eukaryota, Metazoa, Chordata, Aves, Galliformes, Phasianidae. The record is from RefSeq and is a predicted model, not a curated record.